Molecule: ribosomal RNA, 660 nt
Filed under: uncultured bacterium
Lineage: Bacteria
Description: bacterial SSU rRNA
Rfam family: Bacterial small subunit ribosomal RNA
Source: RNAcentral
AGUGGCGGACGGGUGAGUAACGCGUGAGAAUCUGCCUUGGGGUCGGGGACAACCACUGGAAACGGUGGCUAAUACCGGAUAAGCCGAUUGGUGAAAGAUUUAUUGCCCGAAGAGGAGCUCGCGUCUGAUUAGCUGCUUGGUGAGGUAAGAGCUCACCAAGGCAGCGAUCAGUAGCUGGUCUGAGAGGACGAUCAGCCACACUGGGACUGAGACACGGCCCAGACUCCUACGGGAGGCAGCAGUGGGGAAUUUUCCGCAAUGGGCGAAAGCCUGACGGAGCAAGACCGCGUGAGGGAGGAAGGCUCUUGGGUUGUAAACCUCUUUUCUCAGGGAAGAAGCUCUGACGGUACCUGAGGAAUCAGCCUCGGCUAACUCCGUGCCAGCAGCCGCGGUAAUACGGAGGAGGCAAGCGUUAUCCGGAAUUAUUGGGCGUAAAGCGUCCGCAGGUGGCGAUUCAAGUCUGCUGUCAAAGCACGGGGCUUAACUCCGUAAAGGCAGUGGAAACUGAAUAGCUAGAGUGCCGUAGGGGUAGAGGGAAUUCCCGGUGUAGCGGUGAAAUGCGUAGAGAUCGGGAAGAACAUCGGUGGCGAAAGCGCUCUACUGGACGGCAACUGACACUCAGGGACGAAAGCUAGGGGAGCGAAUGGGAUUAGAUACCCC